CCUACGGGUGGCAGCAGUGAGGAAUAUUGGUCAAUGGACGAGAGUCUGAACCAGCCAAGCAGCGUGAAGGAUGACUGCCCUAUGGGUGGUAAACUUCUUUUAUAUGGGAAUAAAUCAGGGUAUGCAUACCCUCAGGUCUGUACCAUAUGAAUAAGGAACGGCCAACUCCGUGCCAGCAGCCGCGGUAAUACGGAGGAACCGAGCGUUAUCCGGAGUUAGUGUGUGUAAAGGGAGAGUAGGAGUAUUGUUAAGUCAGUUGGGAAGGCUUGCGGCUCAACCGUAAGAUUGCAGUUGAAACUGGCAGGCUUGAGUACAGGAGAGGUAGGCGGAAUUCGUGGUGUAGCGGUGAAAUGCUUAGAUAUCACGAGGAACGCCGGUUGAGAAGGCAGCUCACUGGACUGCAACUGACACUGAUGCUCGAAAGUGUGGGUAUCAAACAGGAUUAGAUACCCGGGUAGUC
Molecule: ribosomal RNA, 460 nt
Filed under: uncultured bacterium
Lineage: Bacteria
Description: partial 16S ribosomal RNA
Rfam family: Bacterial small subunit ribosomal RNA
Source: RNAcentral